Engraulis encrasicolus (European anchovy) is the source of this 1512-nucleotide long non-coding RNA. RefSeq lists it as uncharacterized. The record is from RefSeq and is a predicted model, not a curated record. NCBI's taxonomy places the organism in Eukaryota, Metazoa, Chordata, Actinopteri, Clupeiformes, Engraulidae. The transcript has 6 exons.
UUAUCAACCUGAACACUCCAUUUUGCAUUGAUAGGAAAAUACUGUAAUUAUGUAAUGAAUAUGUUUUGCUUAUCAAGAUCAUGUUCUAUGACAGACAUUGUUGCACCAGCAGGAGAUUAUCAGCGACAUGCCCAUGGCCACUGACUUCAAGUCCUGCUGGCCAGAAAUGUUGGAUAUUGGAGAGAUCCAUGCAGAGUUAACUCGUUACCACUAUGCCACUGCAGUUAAAGUUUCUUUCCCAGCUGGACCUCCACUGCGAUGACCUGGUGAAAAUCUUCCAGAAGAGGGGAGGGCACACCGCAAGAAAACUGCAGUCAGUGGAGAUCAUCAGCGACAUGCCCAUGGCCACCGACUUCAAGUCCUGCUGGCCAGAAAUGUUGGAUAUUGGAGAGAUCCAUGCAGAGUUGACGCGUCACCACUGCCACUGCAGUUAAAGUUUCUUUCCCAGCUGGACCGCCAUUGCGAUGACCUGGUGAAAAUUUUCCAGAAGAGGGGAGAGCAAACCGCAAGAAAACUGCAGUCAUUGACAUUUGUGUUGCACCAGCAGGAGAUCAUCAGCGACAUGCCCAUGGCCACCGACUUCAGGUCCUGCUGGCCAGAAAUGUUGGAUAUUGGAGAGGAUUUCACUGCAGCUCAGGUGCAGCUCAGCAAACGGCCAUGGGGAUAAAGCUCUAUGACGAUGGACAAUAUGGACGUUCACAUUGUGUGAGAAGGUGUUGGAAGUUCUUGGUGAUCUUGCCUGUGGCUCUGGCUGUAGUGAGGCUUUUUGUUUUGGAAUUAUCUCGCCCAGAAAAAUCUGUGUUUGAAAGAAGUCUGUAGUGAGGCCUCACACACACUUUACUUUAGUGUGACCUUUACCAUCUAGUAACUUGGCCUGCUUCUUGGAGAUCUUGACUGUGUGGCUCUGGCUUUAGUGACUGUUUGGGCUUUUCUUUUCUUUUCUUUUCUUUUCUUUUCUUUUCUUACAUUUUCAGAAUGGAUGCUAGCCACUCAUCAGUUUUUAUCCAUUUCCAAGUAUUCAUAAUGACUGGGAAUAUUACAAUUCAUACAAGGUGGGAAGGUGGCUGUUCACCAUUUUGGAUUUGUUGUAAUGGACCUCUUUGGCGGCAAAACUUACUGUACUUUGAUCAGAUCAGUAAAUAUUAGUUUAUUACUAAGGAAACAUUCAUGAAAAGAUAUAAUUUGUGAAUGGGCGACUGAAAUGAUAUGCUGUAUUUUUAAGUUACCCCAGAAAAUGAUAAUGGUGCUAGAGGUUACAGUAUCUGCCCGAAUUGUCACUGAAAAUUUUGCGUAGUGUGUAGUUAUGCAAGACACUUCACUGCAUAUUGCGGUCUUCAGAUUCAUUUCAAAGAGCAAAUUGUAAAUGUGUUGCCUCUAUUUAAUGUAAUGCGUAAAAUGGAUUGUGAUUAUGAUCUGUGAAUUCAGUCUGUUCUACUCAUGUGUCUGACCUGCACUAAAGGUAUAUCCGAUGUCAUGAAUAAUUUGUUUAAAUAAAAAGAAAUUUGCAGUACA